Molecule: transfer RNA, 83 nt
Filed under: Mucilaginibacter agri
Lineage: Bacteria; Pseudomonadati; Bacteroidota; Sphingobacteriia; Sphingobacteriales; Sphingobacteriaceae
Rfam family: tRNA
About the family: Transfer RNA (tRNA) molecules are approximately 80 nucleotides in length. Their secondary structure includes four short double-helical elements and three loops (D, anti-codon, and T loops). Further hydrogen bonds mediate the characteristic L-shaped molecular structure. tRNAs have two regions of fundamental functional importance: the anti-codon, which is responsible for specific mRNA codon recognition, and the 3' end, to which the tRNAs corresponding amino acid is attached (by aminoacyl-tRNA synthetases). tRNAs cope with the degeneracy of the genetic code in two manners: having more than one tRNA (with a specific anti-codon) for a particular amino acid; and 'wobble' base-pairing, i.e. permitting non-standard base-pairing at the 3rd anti-codon position.
Source: Rfam by way of RNAcentral
GGAGUUGGCCGAGUGGUAAGGCGUCACCCUGAAAGCGUGAAGUCGCCGUAACAGGCGCGGGGGUUCGAUCCCCUCACUCUCCG